Acanthosepion pharaonis is the source of this 109-nucleotide non-coding RNA. NCBI's taxonomy places the organism in Eukaryota, Metazoa, Mollusca, Cephalopoda, Sepiida, Sepiidae. The record is from the annotation of a GenBank genome assembly.
GGCCACAUCAAGUUGUAACACCGGUUCCCAUCCGAUCACCAAAGUUAAGGAACGUCAAGCCUGGUCAGUACCUAGAUGUGUGACCGCUUGAGAAUACCAGGUGCUGGAA